AAUUCUUAAAGAAAUAUUAGAAUGAUCACAAAUAUUACUCAAAUAUAUGUCAAUUCAACCUUAAUUUAAUUCUAAUUAAAACCCUAUUGAAUUUCACUCAAAAUUUAGACCAAACCUAAUUAAAUCUUAAACCCUAAUAAAUCCUAAAUCCUAAGUCAAAUCCUAAACAAACCUUAAAUUAAAUCCUAAAUCAAAUCCAAUUUCAAAUCCUAAAUCCUAAACCAAACCUUAAAUCAAAUCCUAAUCCGAAUCCUAAAUCAAAUCCUAAUCCAAAUCCUAAAUCAAAUCCUAAUCAAAUCCUAAAUCCUAACCUAAAUCCUAAUCCAAAUCUAAACCCUUACCAAACCCUAAACCCUAAUCUAAAUCCUAAUCCAAAUUCUAAAUCAAAUCCUAACCAAACUCUAAUCCAAAUCUUAAAUCAAAUCUUAACCAAACUCUAAACCCUAAUCCAAAUCCUAAUCCAAACCCUAAUCCAAACCCUAAAUCAAAAUCUAACCAAACCCUAAUCCAAAUCUUAAAUCGAACCCUAGCCAAAUCCUAAUCCAAAUCCUA
RNAcentral lists this long non-coding RNA (552 nucleotides) under Physcomitrium patens. RNAcentral describes it as "long non-coding RNA (PPAT_LNC008382)". The record is from RNAcentral. Lineage: Eukaryota; Viridiplantae; Streptophyta; Bryopsida; Funariales; Funariaceae.